RNAcentral lists this ribosomal RNA (743 nucleotides) under uncultured bacterium. Its description in RNAcentral is "bacterial SSU rRNA". It matches the Rfam family "Bacterial small subunit ribosomal RNA", at positions 91 to 819 of the family's 1533-position model. The record is from RNAcentral.
GCGAGCGGCGGAUGGGUGAGUAACACGUGGGGAACCUGCCCCUAAGUCUGGGAUACCAUUUGGAAACAGGUGCUAAUACCGGAUAAUAAAGCAGAUCGCAUGAUCAGCUUUUGAAAGGCGGCGUAAGCUGUCGCUAAGGGAUGGCCCCGCGGUGCAUUAGCUAGUUGGUAAGGUAACGGCUUACCAAGGCGACGAUGCAUAGCCGAGUUGAGAGACUGAUCGGCCACAUUGGGACUGAGACACGGCCCAAGCUCCUACGGGAGGCAGCAGUAGGGAAUCUUCCACAAUGGACGCAAGUCUGAUGGAGCAACGCCGCGUGAGUGAAGAAGGUUUUCGGAUCGUAAAGCUCUGUUGUUGGUGAAGAAGGAUAGAGGUAGUAACUGGCCUUUAUUUGACGGUAAUCAACCAGAAAGUCACGGCUAACUACGUGCCAGCAGCCGCGGUAAUACGUAGGUGGCAAGCGUUGUCCGGAUUUAUUGGGCGUAAAGCGAGCGCAGGCGGAAAAAUAAGUCUAAUGUGAAAGCCCUCGGCUUAACCGAGGAACUGCAUCGGAAACUGUUUUUCUUGAGUGCAGAAGAGGAGAGUGGAACUCCAUGUGUAGCGGUGGAAUGCGUAGAUAUAUGGAAGAACACCAGUGGCGAAGGCGGCUCUCUGGUCUGCAACUGACGCUGAGGCUCGAAAGCAUGGGUAGCGAACAGGAUUAGAUACCCUGGGUAGUCCAUGCCGUAAACGAUGAGUGCUAA